AUGGCGGCGAUACCGUUUGUCUUGGUCCUGUUCGUCGUGUCCUACUCCUACACCGCCGGUGCCGGCGCGGCCGUGUUCACCAUCACCAAUUGGUGCCCGGACAUGGUGUAUCCGGCCUCGUCCAAGGACGUACUGGGUCUGGGCUUCGGUCUCCCAAGUGGCGAUACGAUGCAUACCGGCGCAAGCGCGGGCAGCAGCGGCAAGAUCUGGGGCCGCACCGGCUGCACUUUGGACGCCCACGGCAAUGGGACAUGCGAGACCGGCGACUGCGCGGGCCAGCAGGUUUGCAACGUCCCCGGGAAGCCGCCGGCGACCGUGGCUGAGUUCACGCUCGGGGACACGGUGGACUACUACGACCUCUCGCUUGCAGACGGCUUCAACAUCCCCAUUUCUUUCGGGUGCGACGACGCCCCCGGCGCACUCGUGUGCAUGGAUCCCGGCUGCAGCGACGCGAAGCACCGUCCGGACGACAGCAAAGUCCACACCUGCCCGGCCAACAGCAGCUACCAUGUCGUCUUCUGCCCCGCAGCUUCAAUGCUUUGA
RNAcentral lists this ribosomal RNA (543 nucleotides) under Triticum aestivum (bread wheat). Its description in RNAcentral is "partial small subunit ribosomal RNA". Lineage: Eukaryota; Viridiplantae; Streptophyta; Magnoliopsida; Poales; Poaceae. The record is from RNAcentral.